GCAGAGCAUCCUACGGGAGGCAGCAGUGGGGAAUAUUGCACAAUGGGCGCAAGCCUGAUGCAGCCAUGCCGCGUGUAUGAAGAAGGCCUUCGGGUUGUAAAGUACUUUCAGCAGUGAGGAAGGUGGAUAUGUUAAUAGCAUAUUCAUUUGACGUUAGCUGCAGAAGAAGCACCGGCUAACUCCGUGCCAGCAGCCGCGGUAAUACGGAGGGUGCGAGCGUUAAUCGGAAUUACUGGGCGUAAAGCGCAUGCAGGUGGUUUGUUAAGUCAGAUGUGAAAGCCCGGGGCUCAACCUCGGAAUUGCAUUUGAAACUGGCAAACUAGAGUACUGUAGAGGGGGUAGAAUUUCAGGUGUAGCGGUGAAAAUGCGUAGAGAUCUGAAGGAAUACCGGUGGCGAAGGCGGCCCCCUGGACAGAUACUGACACUCAGAUGCGAAAGCGUGGGGAGCAAACAGGAUUAGAUCCCCUGGUAG
Molecule: ribosomal RNA, 472 nt
Filed under: uncultured bacterium
Lineage: Bacteria
Description: bacterial SSU rRNA
Rfam family: Bacterial small subunit ribosomal RNA
Source: RNAcentral